GACGAACGCUGGCGGCGUGCUUAACACAUGCAAGUCGAACGGAAAGGCCCUGCUUUUGUGUGGUUCUCGAUUGGCGAACGGGUGAGUAACACGUGAGUAACCUGCCCUUGACUUUGGGAUAACUUCAGGAAACAGGGGCUAAUACCGGAUAGGAGCUCCUGCUGCAUGGUGGGGGUUGGAAAGUUUCGGCGGUUGGGGAUGGACUCGCGGCUUAUCAGCUUGUUGGUGGGGUAGUGGCUUACCAAGGCUUUGACGGGUAGCCGGCCUGAGAGGUUGACCGGCCACAUUGGGACUGAGAGACGGCGCAGAAUCCUACGGGAGGCAGCAGUGGGGAAUAUUGCGCAACGGGCGGAAGCCUGAGGCAGCAACGCCGCGUGCGGGAUGACGGCCUUCGGGUGGUAAACCGCUUUCGCCUGUGACGAAGCGUGAGUGACGGUAAUGGGUAAAGAAGCACCGGCUAACUACGUG
RNAcentral lists this ribosomal RNA (468 nucleotides) under uncultured bacterium. RNAcentral's name for it is "partial 16S ribosomal RNA". It matches the Rfam family "Bacterial small subunit ribosomal RNA", at positions 28 to 507 of the family's 1533-position model. The record is from RNAcentral.